This 285-nucleotide ribosomal RNA is filed under the name uncultured Bacteroidota bacterium. RNAcentral's name for it is "uncultured Bacteroidetes bacterium partial 16S ribosomal RNA". It matches the Rfam family "Bacterial small subunit ribosomal RNA", at positions 28 to 310 of the family's 1533-position model. Lineage: Bacteria; Pseudomonadati; Bacteroidota. The record is from RNAcentral.
GAUGAACGCUAGCGGUAGGCUUAACACAUGCAAGUCGAGGGGCAGCACAGGUAGCAAUACUAGGUGGCGACCGGCGCACGGGUGAGUAACGCGUAUGCAACCUACCUAUAACUGGAGGAUAGCCCCCGGAAACGGGGAUUAAUAUUCCAUAAUGUUCAGGGAUCUCAUGGUUCUUGGACUAAAGCUCCGGCGGUUAUAGAUGGGCAUGCGUGCCAUUAGCUAGUUGGUGAGGUAACGGCUCACCAAGGCUACGAUGGUUAGGGGGUCUUAAAGGAUGAUCCCCCA